GUUUAAUGCCCUUCUCCUCUUUCCUCGCUCCCCCUUUUCCGCUAUGGAAUAACCCAUGGUCGCUGGCCAAUGGGCUGCCUAGUAUUCAUAUUGCGUAAUGCAGAUGAAACGUAAACCAAGCUGAUUACGAGCACAGCAGUCAUUUCGCUGCCAGACAGAGGGGAGACAACACGGGUCUGGGACCGGUCUCUGAUGAUUAAUAGCAACUGCCCCCACGAAGUCAACGCACUCCCCUGCACUUCGGGGCUCAUCAUAAAGAUGUUUACGAAGGACGUCGCUGAUGGCUUGCACUGGAAGACGAGCUGUAUCACUGAAGGGAAGGACAUUCGUAAGAAAAUUGCUACAAGGAGACCGAGACUGGAAGCCAUGCAAAACCUGAAACAACGUCGCCCGAAGGAGCAAGGCCAUGAGAGGGAAAUGCAAGACCGACAGCAGAGCUGCGUGUAGCCAAGCGAUUGCGCUGCUAUUGAUGGUAAAACUGAGUGCAGUUAGAGAAUUCAUGGACUGACAUACACGUGCUGUCUGCGUUAUUUGACUUAUACGAAUACGUGUUGUCUAUUCUAUUAGGUCAUAUUAAGGAAUGUAAAAAAAUACUUCAAUUGACCUAGAUGGAUAUACGAAUGGUCGACAUCACAACCAAACGUAUUUGAAAUCUUUAUUGACACGACAAAAGUACAGAGACUUUCGUGAGGAUUAUAACAAGUACUUACAGUGCAACUAAGCAGACGUAUAUGCAUAUUUACAGAUAUGAAUAAGUCAACAUAUUGUUCUAGCAUGUCAUUUACAUAAUUCGAACAUUGCCUGCAAAUGUCUUGAGUUACAAACAAACUCUUACCAACUCUACGCUUAAACACACGUCUGUGCAGCCGUUUACUUUUCGGGCCGGAACUCGGUGUAAUACAUAAAUGGGACCUUACAGGUAUUGUAUAUACAAGCUGUAUCAGUCUUUCACUCCGUCACUUACAAGAAGAUACAACGCAACGUUUGCUAGAAGUAAUUAGUCAGUGGUAUUGUACUGUGAUUGUUAUUCUUAGACGGUUAUUCGUUUGAUGACGUGAACUGCAACAGACUGAGAU
Branchiostoma floridae (Florida lancelet) is the source of this 1076-nucleotide long non-coding RNA. RefSeq lists it as uncharacterized. NCBI's taxonomy places the organism in Eukaryota, Metazoa, Chordata, Leptocardii, Amphioxiformes, Branchiostomatidae. The record is from RefSeq and is a predicted model, not a curated record. The transcript has 3 exons.